UACGUAGGGUGCGAGCGUUAAUCGGAAUUACUGGGCGUAAAGCGUGCGCAGGCGGCGCGUUAAGACAGGUGUGAAAGCCCCGAGCUUAACUUGGGAAUUGCGCUUGUGACUGGCGAGCUGGAGUGUGGCAGAGGGAGGUGGAAUUCCACGUGUAGCAGUGAAAUGCGUAGAUAUCGGAAGGAACAUCAGUGGCGAAAGCGGCUUCCUGGUCCAGCACCGACGUUCAGGCACGAAAGCGUGGGGAGCAAACAGG
RNAcentral lists this ribosomal RNA (253 nucleotides) under uncultured bacterium. Its description in RNAcentral is "partial 16S ribosomal RNA". It matches the Rfam family "Bacterial small subunit ribosomal RNA", at positions 524 to 776 of the family's 1533-position model. The record is from RNAcentral.